RNAcentral lists this ribosomal RNA (571 nucleotides) under uncultured bacterium. RNAcentral describes it as "bacterial SSU rRNA". It matches the Rfam family "Bacterial small subunit ribosomal RNA", at positions 338 to 916 of the family's 1533-position model. The record is from RNAcentral.
CCUACGGGAGGCAGCAGUGGGGAAUAUUGCACAAUGGGCGCAAGCCUGAUGCAGCAACGCCGCGUGAGGGACGAAGGCCUUCGGGUUGUAAACCUCUUUUAGUAGGGAAGAAGCGAAAGUGACGGUACCUGCAGAAAAAGCACCGGCUAACUACGUGCCAGCAGCCGCGGUAAUACGUAGGGUGCAAGCGUUGUCCGGAAUUAUUGGGCGUAAAGAGCUCGUAGGCGGUUUGUCGCGUCUGCUGUGAAAACCCCGAGGCUCAACCUCGGGCCUGCAGUGGGUACGGGCAGACUAGAGUGCGGUAGGGGAGAUUGGAAUUCCUGGUGUAGCGGUGGAAUGCGCAGAUAUCAGGAGGAACACCGAUGGCGAAGGCAGAUCUCUGGGCCGUAACUGACGCUGAGGAGCGAAAGCAUGGGGAGCGAACAGGAUUAGAUACCCUGGUAGUCCAUGCCGUAAACGUUGGGAACUAGAUGUGGGGGCCAUUCCACGGCUUCCGUGUUCGCAGCUAACGCAUUAAGUUCCCCGCCUCGGGGAGUACGGCCGCAAGGCUAAAACUCAAAGGAAUUGACGG